UGUGGCGUCGUUCUUGCUGGCGAG
Molecule: non-coding RNA, 24 nt
Filed under: Mus musculus (house mouse)
Lineage: Eukaryota; Metazoa; Chordata; Mammalia; Rodentia; Muridae
Source: RNAcentral